CCCUUAGAUGUUCUGGGCUGCACGCGCGCUACACUGAAGCUAUCAACACGUUUUCCCUCCCUGAGAAGGGCGGGUAACCUUUUGAAUCAGCUUCGUGGUAGGGAUCGGGGCUUGCAAUUGUUCCCCGUGAACCAGGAAUUCCUAGUAGACGCGAGUCAUAAGCUCGCAUCGAUUAAGUCCCUGCCCUUUGUACACACCGCCCGUCGCUACUACAGAUUGAACGUUUUAGUGAGGCAUUUGGACCGACGCAUCUCAGUUUAACCGCUGGUUUGUGUUGGAAAGACUUCCAAACUUGAGCGUUUAGAGGAAGUAAAAGUCGUAACA
Molecule: ribosomal RNA, 324 nt
Filed under: uncultured eukaryote
Lineage: Eukaryota
Description: partial 18S ribosomal RNA
Rfam family: Eukaryotic small subunit ribosomal RNA
Source: RNAcentral